UACGUAGGGUGCAAGCGUUGUCCGGAAUUAUUGGGCGUAAAGAGCUCGUAGGCGGUUUGUCGCGUCUGCUGUGAAAACGCGAGGCUCAACCUCGCGCCUGCAGUGGGUACGGGCAGACUAGAGUGCGGUAGGGGAGAUUGGAAUUCCGUGGUGUAGCGGUGGAAUGCGCAGAUAUCAGGAGGAACACCGAUGGCGAAGGCAGAUCUCUGGGCCGUAACUGACGCUGAGGAGCGAAAGCGUGGGGAGCGAACAGG
This 254-nucleotide ribosomal RNA is filed under the name uncultured bacterium. RNAcentral's name for it is "partial 16S ribosomal RNA". It matches the Rfam family "Bacterial small subunit ribosomal RNA", at positions 524 to 776 of the family's 1533-position model. The record is from RNAcentral.